UUGUUUUUCUCCUAUGCAUCAUGGUCACAAUUAUUGCCAUGCAUUGAAAUUAUUUUGAGUAAAAUAUCAAAAUAAAUGUAUUUCCAUUGAUAGUUAUUUUUUUUUAGUACACCAUGGUGACUAGGAGCCUGAAAUUGUCCAGAUAUAGCUUCCUGUUCCACAGGAUUAUAAAUAUGAGGACCAUAAAGGUCAAAUACCCCUUAAUCAUCCAUCACAAGGAGUAAAACCAAAGCUCUGAUGUGCAGAAUAAGAUUUUUGAGCUUCACACGAUAGAAAAUGUCUGUAAGAAAAGAGCUAAAGCAAUGAAAAUACCCAUUCUAAUCAACUAAAGAUGUUACAAAUCUGCCUUGAAGAGGACGUGUGUCUAUAUCGUCCUAAUGCACAGUGAGGAUAGUUUGAGUGGCCAAAGACUCUCCAAGGAUUACAGCUGGAGAAUUGCAGAGAUUAGUUGGGACUUGGGUCAGAAAGUCUUUAAAAAAGAUAAUCAAAGAGCCCCUACAUCACCACAUGUUGUUCAUGAGGGUUUCAAGAAAAAAAACGCCUUGCUCACCCCCCCCAAAAAAAAACUAACAAAAAAAAAAAACUCUAGCAGUUUUCAAACACAACUGGAACUUCAAGUGGCACUGGCUUCUGUGGUCAGAUGAAACAAACAAAAAAAUAAAUAAAAAGAGCUUUUGAGCAGCAAACCCACCAGAUGGGUUAAAUACAAACAGGGAUAAAAAGUACCCUAUGUACAGGGUUAAAUAUACUGCUGGAUCUUUAAUACACAUGGCAUAAUAAAUUCAAUUAGAUACCAAAAGAUAAACCUAAACCUGACUGCCUCUGUUAAAAAUCUUAUAAUGGUUGUCUGCUUUUUGGAUGAGUUGAGGGAACUGAAGAGAAGAAGCACCAACAUGGAGCUGUGAAUCUAAAGGAUCUGGAGAGAUUAUGUAUGAAGGAAUUGUCUCUGAUCUCUUAUCAGAAAUUAUUCAAACUCGUCAGGCAUCAUAGAAGAAAACUCAGAGCUAUUAUCUUGGGAAAAGGAUGUUGCAAUAAUUGGGUGCCAAUAAGUGUGACCAACAUGAAAACAUAUUUCACAGUUUUACUUCAUUGAAAGUUUAGAAUUGUGUGAACUUUUUGAAUGAAAGAUCAAAAGGAUAAACAAUGCAGAUUUAUUUUCACAGCCGCCUUUAAUCAUUUUUACCAAGUGUGUCAAUAAUAGUGGAGGGCAAUGUACAUAUUUCACUUACAAUAAUGAAGAUGCAUGUCAUUAAGAAUAGAAUUAAGGUGUAUUAAUGUCCACAUUACAUUUUACAGUAUGACGUCUGUUAUUAAUCAACUGAAAAUUGCGGUAACACUUCAUCUAUUAAAAAUAUAUUUAAUGCAAUGGUGCAUUAAUAUUUGUAUAAGGGUUUAAAAAAAGAGUUUUACAAAUUUAUGUAAUUUCAUAAUUAUGUAGUCCAUUGAAAUGAAAUGCCACCUCUUUUGAAAUAUGUUUGCUUUUGCACAUCUGCAAUGGAGAAUCUGCAAUUUAGUAACUUCCAUGCUAUG
Carassius carassius (crucian carp) is the source of this 1530-nucleotide long non-coding RNA. RefSeq lists it as uncharacterized. The transcript is spliced from 3 exons. NCBI's taxonomy places the organism in Eukaryota, Metazoa, Chordata, Actinopteri, Cypriniformes, Cyprinidae. The record is from RefSeq and is a predicted model, not a curated record.